This 73-nucleotide transfer RNA is filed under the name Candidatus Woesearchaeota archaeon. RNAcentral describes it as "tRNA-Val". It matches the Rfam family "tRNA". From Rfam's summary of the family: Transfer RNA (tRNA) molecules are approximately 80 nucleotides in length. Their secondary structure includes four short double-helical elements and three loops (D, anti-codon, and T loops). Further hydrogen bonds mediate the characteristic L-shaped molecular structure. tRNAs have two regions of fundamental functional importance: the anti-codon, which is responsible for specific mRNA codon recognition, and the 3' end, to which the tRNAs corresponding amino acid is attached (by aminoacyl-tRNA synthetases). tRNAs cope with the degeneracy of the genetic code in two manners: having more than one tRNA (with a specific anti-codon) for a particular amino acid; and 'wobble' base-pairing, i.e. permitting non-standard base-pairing at the 3rd anti-codon position. Lineage: Archaea; Nanobdellati; Candidatus Woesearchaeota. The record is from RNAcentral.
GGGCCCGUGGUCUAGUGGCUAUGACAUCACCCUUACACGGUGAGGGUCCCAGGUUCGAAUCCUGGCGGGCCCA